This 139-nucleotide small RNA is filed under the name Pseudomonas aeruginosa. RNAcentral's name for it is "Pseudomonas sRNA P33". The stretch from base 1 to 101 matches the Rfam family "Pseudomonas sRNA P33". The record is from RNAcentral. Lineage: Bacteria; Pseudomonadati; Pseudomonadota; Gammaproteobacteria; Pseudomonadales; Pseudomonadaceae.
CCGCCCGGAACCACCGGUCAAAUCGUAGCGUAGGGCGAAUAACCGCAUCGCGGUUAUCCGCCGAUUGUGCAGGGCCGCGGCGGAUAACGCCUAUGGCGUUAUUCGCCCUACCGUCCGCAGCACAGCCCCAGCCUCGGCA